Molecule: long non-coding RNA, 660 nt
Organism: Cyprinus carpio (common carp)
Lineage: Eukaryota; Metazoa; Chordata; Actinopteri; Cypriniformes; Cyprinidae
Source: Ensembl
AUGCUGUCUCAAAUGGAUGAAGAAAUCAUGACAUCCCUUCGUGAGCUCCCAGAAAUGAUUAAAUUAAUGAAGGAGUGUGUGCAGUGUGUCCGGUCAUUGAUUCCCUCACCCGGUGGGACCCCCUCAUCAGGAAUGUCUGCCUCUAGUACUGUUCCCAGUGAAAUUGAAAUGUGUUCCGAAGAGGGCUUUCCAGCGGCUGAACAGAUCUCGCAUGACCAUUUUUGCCCAAGAGCUGGCUGUUCUGGUGUUCACAAAGGAACUGCUGGCAGAGUCCACCCUAACAGGAAAAUCUGUGCGAGGGGCCCCCCCCCAAAAAACAGCUGGAUGUUGAAAAAGUUCAGGCCAUAACAGGUCUGCAAUUUUGAGUUAAUUUUGUGUCUGGAAAAUUGUUACUGAAAAUGUUAAUUGUACAGUAGCAGGACUGCAUGGAUUGGGAGGGGGGGGGAGCUGAGUAUUGUCAUCAAUUUCAUGUUUUGAUUUUGAUUCAAGCUUGGGAUUUAGUUCAAAUUAUGAUUCAGUUGUAUAUAGAUUAAUUGGGAUAUUUAUUUUGGACAGCAAUGAAAAGUUUUGUAAAGAAUUUGAGAGAGACUUCUUCUUAAAAGUUAAAAAGCACAAAGCUAAUUGCUAUUUACUGAAUAAAAGGGAUGGUUUAAUGAUUCA